UGAAUACGAGACGCUAAGGCGUCGAAGUAGUGUAUGUCAUACUUCCAAGAAAAGCUUGCACUGUCAUAAGUAAAAAAUGCCUGUACCAUAACCGACACAGGUGGGUAGGUAGAGUAUACUAAGGGGCGCGAGAUAACUCUCUCUAAGGAACUCGGCAAAAUAACUCCGUAAUUUCGGGAGAAGGAGUACCUUAUUCUAUAAGGUUGCAAUAACAAGAUCCAAGCAACUGUUUAUCAAAAACACAGGUCUCCGCUAAGUCGUAAGACGAUGUAUGGGGGCUGACGCCUGCCCAGUGCCAGAAGGUUAAAGAAGUCGGUUAGCAUUAGCGAAGCUGGUAACUGAAGCCCUGGUGAACGGCGGCCGUAACUAUAACGGUCCUAAGGUAGCGAAAUUCCUUGUCGGGUAAGUUCCGACCCGCACGAAAGGCGUAAUGAUUUGGAUACUGUCUCGGAGAGGGGCUCGGUGAAAUAGACUUGUCUGUGAAGAUGCGGACUACCUGCACCAGGACAGAAAGACCCUAUGAAGCUUUACUGUAACUUGAAAUUGAAAUUGGACUUUAUUCGCGCAGUAUAGGUGGGAGGUGUUGAUUAUAAUCUUGCGGGAUUAUUGGAGCCAUCAGUGAGAUACCACUCUUGUAAUGUUAGAUUUCUAACUUUGAAUCAUUAUCUGGUCAAAGGACAGUUUCAGGCGGGCAGUUUGACUGGGGCGGUCGCCUCCCAAACGGUAACGGAGGCGUACAAAGGUUUCCUCUGAACGGGUAGAAAUCGUAUCUAGAGUGUAAAGGCAUAAGGAAGCUUGACUGUGAGACCUACAAGUCGAACAGGGACGAAAGUCGGUCUUAGUGAUCUGACGGUACUGAGUGGAAAGGCCGUCACUCAACGGAUAAAAGUUACUCUAGGAUAACAGGCUGAUCUCCCCCAAGAGUUCACAUCGACGGGGAGGUUUGGCACCUCGAUGUCGGCUCAUCGCAUCCUGGGGCGGUAGUACGUCCCAAGGGUUGGGCUGUUCGCCCAUGAAAGCGGUACGCGAGCUGGGUUCAGAACGUCGUGAGACAGUUCGGUCCAUAUCCGGUGUAGGCGUUAGAAUAUUGAGAGGAGCCUUCUUUAGUACGAGAGGACCGAGAAGGACAUACCUCUGGUGUACCAGUUAUCGUGCCAACGGUAAACGCUGGGUAGCUAUGUAUGGAGUGGAUAACCGCUGAAAGCAUCUAAGUGGGAAGCCCACCUCAAGAUAAGUAUUCU
Molecule: ribosomal RNA, 1241 nt
Filed under: metagenome
Description: bacterial LSU rRNA
Rfam family: Bacterial large subunit ribosomal RNA
Source: RNAcentral